GAUGAACGCUGGCGGCGUGCCUAAUACAUGCAAGUCGAGCGAACAGAUGAGGAGCUUGCUCCUCUGACGUUAGCGGCGGACGGGUGAGUAACACGUGGAUAACCUACCUAUAAGACUGGGAUAACUUCGGGAAACCGGAGCUAAUACCGGAUAAUAUAUUGAACCGCAUGGUUCAAUAGUGAAAGACGGUUUUGCUGUCACUUAUAGAUGGAUCCGCGCCGCAUUAGCUAGUUGGUAAGGUAACGGCUUACCAAGGCAACGAUGCGUAGCCGACCUGAGAGGGGGAUCGGCCACACUGGAACUGAGACACGGUCCAGACUCCUACGGGAGGCAGCAGUAGGGAAUCUUCCGCAAUGGGCGAAAGCCUGACGGAGCAACGCCGCGUGAGUGAUGAAGGUCUUCGGAUCGUAAAACUCUGUUAUUAGGGAAGAACAAAUGUGUAAGUAACUAUGCACGUCUUGACGGUACCUAAACAGAAAGCCCCGGCUAACUACGUG
Molecule: ribosomal RNA, 497 nt
Filed under: uncultured bacterium
Lineage: Bacteria
Description: partial 16S ribosomal RNA
Rfam family: Bacterial small subunit ribosomal RNA
Source: RNAcentral